GACGAACGCUGGCGGCGUGCUUAACACAUGCAAGUCGAACGGAAAGGCCCUGCUUUUGUGGGGUGCUCGAGUGGCGAACGGGUGAGUAACACGUGAGUAACCUGCCCUUGACUUUGGGAUAACUUCAGGAAACUGGGGCUAAUACCGGAUAGGAGCUCCUGCUGCAUGGUGGGGGAUGGAAAGUUUCGGCGGUUGGGGCUGGACUCGCGGCUUAUCAGCUUGUUGGUGGGGUAGUGGCUUACCAAGGCUUUGACGGGUAGCCGGCCUGAGAGGGUGACCGGCCACAUUGGGACUGAGAUAGGGCCCAGACUCCUACGGGAGGCAGCAGGGGAGAAUAUUGCACAAUGGGCGGAAGCCUGAGGCAACAACGCCGCGUGCGGGAUGACGUCCUUCGGGGUGUAAACCGCUUUCGCCUGUGACGAAGCGUGAGUGACGGUAAUGGGUAAAGAAGCACCGGCUAACUACGUG
Molecule: ribosomal RNA, 468 nt
Filed under: uncultured bacterium
Lineage: Bacteria
Description: partial 16S ribosomal RNA
Rfam family: Bacterial small subunit ribosomal RNA
Source: RNAcentral